AGCAGCAGCAGCUCAGUGUUAAAGCCGUUUCUUGAUCCUUCAGGAAAAGCAGGGCUGCCGUCGACCCCUCCUACCAAACAACACGGGCAACUUUUUUGGAGGGAAAAUGGAAGCUGUCUCAUCCACCUGAGCCUGUGGGACCUCAGAUAUCACCUCCACCUGUUCCUGAUUUCUUGGACCGUUUGGAUGAGCUGUCUACCAAAAGCACAAGCGCCACCACAUGUGCACGUCUCAGCGGCUGUCCAGAAUGAGAACUGAAAAUCAGUGCCCCAUAGGAGACUCUUUUUCCUAUGUCCCGUGUCAAAACACUUGUGCAGAUAACUUUGCUGAGAUGCACAGCACAAGUCUGGGCUCCAUCUCUAGUUUCUGCUCCCCUGGCCUUUCUCGGUGGAGACAUUUUGGAUAUAUCAGCGUGCUCCACCCUCAUGUUGAUGUCUGCCAAGGGGAUAGUCGACCUCAAUAAGCCCCUGGAAAGUGCCUGUGUGUUCUUGGCCCUUCUAGUUUAAAGGCCCUUCCAGCAGCUCCACAGACAGGGUCCCCUGAUGCAUAAAGGUCACGCUGAGGCUGACGUUUUACUCCAGCUUUAGUCCCCCCUCUACAGGAUAGCUGUGAUGUCAUCCAGCUCCUAUUUCCCUGGAAUCAAGAAGCAUUGCUCAUAAACUGACACGCAGCUCACCCGACCCACCAGAGAGCCAGUAAAGGACGCUGAGUAACAGGCACAGAUGGAAAUGAGUUACAGAGUUGACCAUGGGAGGAGGUUUGGAGUCCUGCAGGAGUUACACAACACCAGAGGACCGUCUCCUCUCCUGUUCCAAAACUUCACAGCAUGCAGAGGGACAGCAGGAUGAAAAAUUUUCCUCUUCUUCCCAUGAAGAGGAACAUUCUUCCGUACUUACUGACAUCGCCUGUUUCCUUCUCCCUUUUCCUCCCACACUUUUCUCCCCUUUUUGCCUUUUGAACCUGGUCAUAUAUAGAUUUCGUUGGAGUGAUGGUGAGCAAGAGAAAUUUUAGCAAAU
This is a long non-coding RNA of Pygocentrus nattereri (red-bellied piranha), 1016 nucleotides long. RefSeq lists it as uncharacterized. The record is from RefSeq and is a predicted model, not a curated record. The transcript is spliced from 5 exons. NCBI's taxonomy places the organism in Eukaryota, Metazoa, Chordata, Actinopteri, Characiformes, Serrasalmidae.